UCCUUUAUUACGCUCGAUACUUCGGCCGAAGAUUCCCGAAUCAUAUCUUAGAGUAUUCUUCCUCUCUUAUUGAGGAUUAGAGAUUCCUUGUUGCGCAUUCACUUACCUUCAUGACUAAGUGGCUUAACCCCAAUUAUGUCGUGGACACCCGCGAAUGGGGUGACUUUGACAUAAUCAAAGAUUAAGUACUUAGCCACAAGACAACGACGAUGCCUCAGGUCAAAGGACUACUUACAUUAUUCCAACCAUUAGAGUUACUUGCUUGACAUGUGAGUAGACCUCCAUGCAAGUACUCUCGUUCGAUUGUGUUCAGUGAACUCAUUCCCUUAAUGAGCACCUACAUACUUGUCUUAGUGUCACCAAACGAAUGGGAUGAGACUUUCCAUCCUUCCAUUUGAAGCAGACACAGUAUGUACCGGUCUAAGCAUUGUCAGUAUCCCUCUGACAAUCCAAUGACCAGGAACCUUUUUGGACAUUAUGGUUAUGUGAAGAAGGUCUCUGUAGUCUAACAUCAUUAGAUUACUUAUUCAAUCGAUCCAUUAUCCAUGGAUUCACUAUUUAGGACAUAUAUCGUUUAUUGAGAUAGUCCUAAUUAGUAUCUUUGCCAUUUGAUG
This 614-nucleotide long non-coding RNA is filed under the name Malus domestica (apple). Its description in RNAcentral is "long non-coding RNA (MDOM_LNC015527)". Lineage: Eukaryota; Viridiplantae; Streptophyta; Magnoliopsida; Rosales; Rosaceae. The record is from RNAcentral.